This 549-nucleotide long non-coding RNA is filed under the name Androctonus crassicauda. The record is from RNAcentral. Lineage: Eukaryota; Metazoa; Arthropoda; Arachnida; Scorpiones; Buthidae.
AUAAUGGAUCUAUGUCACACGGCUUCCAAGAGACUGAAGUUUUGUUUUUCCUUACAUUAUAUUUUAUUGAGUUGAAUUAUCUUAUUCAAAUCUUUGAUCGUAUUUUAAAAUGAGUGGAUCAUUGUAACAAUGAUGUCAUACACCAUUAAGCUACAUUUAGACGGUGCCUCUCUGCAUGCAAUGUUGUAUGCAGAAAGACGCAUGCCUCAAGGCGCAACAGCCGCAUGAAGCAUGCAACUUGCCCCUUAGUGUUCACACGUGGAGGACAUUGCAGAGAAUGCUGACACAAAGAGAGCUGUAUGCUGCUGUUUUAGCGGCAGCUACUGUUAUCAUUUCAAAUGAUAGAAGAAAAAGAAGGAAAAGGAAGUGUUGGAUUUGAAAAUAUUUCGAUCGUUUGUAGACUUCAUCAGCAGAAGAGCCACUUUUUUUUAACACUUUGGUGUGUUUCUGAUGAAAAUAUGAUCUGAAUCCUUUAGUUUUAUUUAAAAUAGAUUUUGUAUCCAUUUGAUAUUUUUUCCCUAAUUCGUGAAUAGCAUCGCGCUUCCCGGU